GUGAAUUUGCAGGAACAACAAAUAAAACAGACACAAAUUACCUUUACAAAAGCUUCAGGAUGGCUCCUUCGCUCUCUGCCUCAGGAUCCCCAAAAGAGAAAGUCAUGAGACUGGUAAGAGAGAGAGCAUGUUUGGAAGUCGGCUUUUAUUGGGAGGACUCUUGUUCUUUAGAAAGUUCUAUCCUAAAAAGGGCAGAAUGGGCAGGGUUACAAAGGAGAGAGGAGUGAAACUGGCCCAUGGCACUAGUCUCAGCUGUAAGCAUGUUCUGGAGGCACGUGGGCUCUUACCCACUUAGCCAGGAUUAGUGCCCUCUUCCUUGAUGAAGGGAUGAAGACCCACCUUUACUGUCGCAUUUUUCAUGACUAAAACACUCAGGGUCAUUCCAAGUGAACUGGGCUGCACUAAAUAAUCACACAAGACAGAGAUACCUUUUUCUUUAGGUCCUGUGAUGGCUCCUCUGACCUUAAGGGUCCACAGAAAGAGAGGGAGAGAGCACGUGCUGAACCCCUUUAUUAAGGAGAAGCCAUUCAAAUGAGGCAAGGGGUCAGGUUUCAGGGGGUUGAAUCUAGCUUCCUAAUGUCUGCUGUCAGCAGGUUGACUGACAUCUAGGAAGGCCACACCCAAAGGCAGAGCAAGAGAAGGGGGACACACAAAGGUAGUUUCCAUGGAACAUUCUAUCCCAAACAGGGCAAAGGGGUAAUAUUACAAAGGAACAGGUGAGUGUAGCUCAACUCCAUGGGUGAUGCCUACAUCUGAAGAUAUGCCCUCAAACUUCCUGGACCAGGGCAAUGUCCAGAUCACUAUGAGAUGUAGUGACCAGUCAAAGCCAAUCAACAUAUAGGUAUAAUUGACCAUUACAGGAUAGAAGGUGCGAAUCAUUCAGAGUGGCUACCCCACAUAGUCCCCCUUUCUUAAUAUAAAAAAAAGCAACUGGGGAAUUAUAUCUUUCAGUCACUGGAUUCUUGGUUCGAGAUCAUCAUGAUCCACUAUGGAAACGCAAAAGGAAAUUAGUAGAAAACAUAUCAUUUCAGUAACACAAUCAACUUGGAAGAUUCGGGUUAUUAUUACUCUGUCAAACACUCAUCAGAAAUUCUUAAUUUUUCCCCAAUUUUAUUGGGAAGCAUUGUGUUUGGCCAUAGUAACACAAACGUUUUCAUUUGGCAUGGCAUUUAAGCCUUUCCAUAAACCAUAGAGCAGAGGGCUCAGUCACAAUAUUUAUUACAGUGGCUUCUAGAGCAUUUUAAUUUAGUUCCCAUCUUUCCAUCAGCACUUCUCUGACUAUGAAGGAUCUUGGAAGUAAUUUAAGUCAAAUAUUAAGAAAACCCAAUAUGUUGUAAGUUUGAGACAUACCAUAAAGGCUGUAAUUGUACAAGCAAGGAAUAAUAUUUAGUCACUUUAAGGAUCAUGAGACCAGCAGCUUGCCUAGUUCUGGUUAAUUGACAUGCACCUGUUUCAAAGCCUGAAUAUUAAAUUUAGCUUAUUAUAGCUCUGAAAUAUCAGCUGGCAAUAACUAGUGAUACAAUAAGAUAAGUUGGAUGCUUACAGGCUACAGGAUAUUCAUCAUUCUUCCUCUCAAUUCUCACAUUUAGGGAGUUUAUUAGGUCUGUCAGUAAUGUAAAUAUUUUGAAGGCAGAAGUCAAACAAAAACAUCCUUUUGGGUGCCAUCUCACUGAGAGUUAAAAGUUUCUAGGAAUUAUGGCAUCCUCAUGUGAUUGUUCUUGUCCAUUUUAGAGACCAGCAUAAAAUAUCCACUAUUUCUAGAUAUCUUGUGUUCUACUGACAUGCACAAUCCAUCCACUUAGGAAAGGUGCCAGUUUCUACUGUAGAAUGAUUAGGGCGACAAUACAUUGGUGGAUAUUCUAUGUAAAUAACUGGUCUGUAUAGGAAAAAUCUAUUUUAGUAAUCUUUCUGACAAUUGUUCAAACAGGUAAAUAUAGUCUUAAUCUCUAAGGACCAGCAUGAUUGGCUGGUUCAGUUUUCUGAUAUGCUGUCUUUUUCUCAAAGGAUACUCCCAGACAGCCUGUUACCAUAGGAUCAACAGCUAGGGAUAACUGACCAUUACCAUCAGCACAAUUCAUCUAGUUUCAUUGGUGGACUUUCCAGUCCACACUACAAUGUACAUUAAAAACAGACCUGGGAAAUGGGUCCAUAGAAGUCUCUUCAUGAUUUUUACUUACGUGAUGAGCUCGUGAAGCUGCAUGGUUGUGAACUCUGCAGCUGGAAAUUCACCUUCCUGGGCCAGGUUUCUCAGUCAUUUUCAUGAUGACUGGUUUAAACUCUCCUUGGAAAUCUCAUGUUCAGCAGCAGUGAGAUUCUCAAUAUUACAAUUAAGAAAAUUUUGAAAUAUUUUUUAAUAUCUAGUGUGUGUCUCUAGGGUUCUAUUUUCCCCCAUCUCUUUAUUUAAUAAAAUUGAGUAAAGGCUUCGCAUAAGCCAUAGUAUCAUGGAUUUAAGUUAUAGAUAAUAGUACAAGUAUUUAAAUGAUAAGAAUAGAUUUACCUUUCAUUGAUUAUUGUAAUUUUCCAAUAUAGACUAGUUAAUUUAUCUUAACAAUUUAGAAAGAACCCUCAAUCUCUCUCUGAGAAAAGGUCUCAAAAUAUCUAUAUUUUAGAAUAUUAUCUGUUAAAUAGGUGUCUCUUAAUUGUCUUUUAGAAAAUAUGAUUAAGGUUACUUCCCAGUGUAGGGAGUAAUAUAUAAGUUUUAGCAUAUUUUUAUGGGUAAUAGGUCCAAUCAGAGAACUUAUAUAAUACUAAUGAAUUUUUAACAAGGUUUGUAACUUUUAUUGCUCAAAACUAACAUAUGACUUUAAUUUGGAAUACCUUAGUCUUAGUAAAAUGUUCUCCCAAAUCUCAUAAUUAUCCAACAAGCAGAAUAUGUAAGAAUCAGCAGUGUCUUUGAAUAAAUCAAAUUUAGUCUUCAAGGAGAAUUGUCAAAAUUGGGACAUAAAUCAGCAAUUUAACAUAUUUAGUGUUUAAUCAAGGAUGAGAAUUUAUUCACCAAAAUUAAUCCUUGCCUUAAACAGUAAUAAUCAUUAGACAAUAAAGACCUUCCUUAAAGGAAAUAAACUUAACAUCUUAAUAGGUCUUUAUCAUGUCAAAAUAUGGACAAAAUCUCAGCUCACAUCAGCAUAGUUAAAUCAGGGAAAUAGCCUGAAAUAGCCUUGAAUUAAUCAGUUAAAAUUUUUAUAGUCAUUCCAGGACAUAUAAAUCUUUUUUUUAAUUGUUUUAACUUUCUAUAUCAUCUGUCUAGAUAGUUAUAUAAAGAUCUUUCUAUUUAGGAAAAUACUUUUAUCAUUAAAAUCUAGAAUAUAAGGACCUUGCUUCACCCAAAGAUGAUUUCUUCUUUUUAGGAUCUCCAAAAUGUGCUUCCAUUCUGUUGAAGCAUCUUUUUCUUUUACAGUUUUUCCUGGUUAUACUUUGGAACAAUUUCUGAAAACCUUAGAAUCUAAACAAAUUUUUGAUAAGAAAUGUCUCAAUGAAAAUAUAGUUAAAGUCCUUGGAUAUUUCUCUAGACAGAAUUAUAUUUGUUUAUCAUCUUAUAAAGUUUGUACAAUAACUUUGAGAAUUAAAGAUUACUUAAAGGUUGUAUUCUCUCUUGAAAGCAAAUUUAUAUUUAAAUACACUUAUCUCAAAUAUCUGUAACUAAAAGGUA
This 3649-nucleotide long non-coding RNA is filed under the name Marmota monax (woodchuck). The record is from RNAcentral. Lineage: Eukaryota; Metazoa; Chordata; Mammalia; Rodentia; Sciuridae.